Long non-coding RNA from Sinocyclocheilus rhinocerous, 475 nucleotides. RefSeq lists it as uncharacterized. The transcript is spliced from 3 exons. Lineage: Eukaryota; Metazoa; Chordata; Actinopteri; Cypriniformes; Cyprinidae. The record is from RefSeq and is a predicted model, not a curated record.
UUAUCUUCUCUUUCUACAGUUGGUGCAUAAUCAUCAUCAUCUCUGUGUUUCUGCUGUAUAUCACAGGUGCUUCCUCUGCUCCUGUGAGGGUAAAAGUUGAGGGUUUUGUUGGAGACUCGGCUAUCUUGUCUUGUUCGAUCACUGAAAGUGAGAUUCUAGACAAAAUAGAAGAAUUCAAUGUACACUUCAGAGACGAUGAAGGCAAGAAAGUGUGUGACAUCAUUGGAGGCAGCAUAGCUGAAGACCAAGAGCCAAAGUACAAGGACAGAGUCGAAACGUUCCCAGAGGAGUAUAAGAAGGGCAACUUCUCCAUCAAACUCAGCAGUCUUCAACAAACUGAUGCAAGGAAGUACCACUGUUUCAUCACAAGGGACACAUCACACGACACAUUUCAGAAAGAGGUCAUCACAGAGCUUCAUGUCAGAGAUAGACCAGGAGGAAGAGGCAACCACGGAGGACUAAAUGGAGAACUACC